Molecule: transfer RNA, 66 nt
Filed under: Singapora shinshana
Lineage: Eukaryota; Metazoa; Arthropoda; Insecta; Hemiptera; Cicadellidae
Description: tRNA-Pro
Source: RNAcentral
CAGCAUAUAGUUUAAUUAAAAUUUAGGCUUUGGGAGUUUAUGAUGUGUUGAUUUUCACUUUGCUGA